CAGCAGCCGCGGUAAUACGGAGGGUGCAAGCGUUAUCCGGAUUCACUGGGUUUAAAGGGUGCGUAGGCGGGUAGGUAAGUCAGUGGUGAAAUCUCCGAGCUUAACUCGGAAACUGCCAUUGAUACUAUCUAUCUUGAAUGUUCUGGAGGUGAGCGGAAUAUGUCAUGUAGCGGUGAAAUGCUUAGAUAUGACAUAGAACACCAAUUGCGUAGGCAGCUCACUACGGAAAUAUUGACGCUGAGGCACGAAAGCGUGAGGAUCAAACAGGAUUAGAUACCCUGGUAGUUCACGCCCUAAACGAUGGAUACUCGACAUACGCGAUACACAGUGUGUGUCUGAGCGAAAGCAUUAAGUAUCCCACCUGGGAAGUACGUUCGCAAGAAUGAAACUCAAAGGAAUUGACGG
RNAcentral lists this ribosomal RNA (405 nucleotides) under uncultured bacterium. RNAcentral's name for it is "bacterial SSU rRNA". It matches the Rfam family "Bacterial small subunit ribosomal RNA", at positions 509 to 916 of the family's 1533-position model. The record is from RNAcentral.